This 1199-nucleotide ribosomal RNA is filed under the name uncultured bacterium. RNAcentral's name for it is "bacterial SSU rRNA". It matches the Rfam family "Bacterial small subunit ribosomal RNA", at positions 152 to 1366 of the family's 1533-position model. The record is from RNAcentral.
GGAAACGAACGCUAAUACCGCAUGACAUUGUUGAGUCGCAUGACAUGACAAUCAAAGGAGCAAUCCGCUGAAAGAUGGGCUCGCGUCCGAUUAGGUAGUUGGUGGGGCAACGGCCCACCAAGCCGACGAUCGGUAGCCGGACUGAGAGGUUGAACGGCCACAUUGGGACUGAGACACGGCCCAGACUCCUACGGGAGGCAGCAGUGAGGGAUAUUUGGUCAAUGGGGGAAACCCUGAACCUGCAACGCCGCGUGAGGGAAGACGGUUUUCGGAUUGUAAACCUCUGUCCUCUGUGAAGACAAUGACGUGAGCAGAGGAGGAAGCUCCGGUUAACUACGUGCUCGCAGCCGCUGGUAAUACUCAAGGAGCAAUCGUUGUCUCGGAUUUACUGGGGGCAAAGGGCGCGUACGCGGCUUUGCCACUCAUAAGUGAUAUCUUUGGUGCUUUCCCGUGAACUGUUUUUGAAACUGCAGAGCUUGAGUGGAGUAGAGGGUAGGCGGAAUUCCCGGUGUUAGCGUUGAAAUGCGUUGAGAUCGGGAGGAACACCAGUGGCGAAGGCGGCCUACUGGGCUCUAACUGACGCUGAGGCACGAAAGCGUGGGUAGCAAACAGGAUUAGAUACCCUGGUAGUCCACGCUGUAAACGAUGAUUACUAGGUGUGGGUGGACUGACCCCAUCCGUGCCGGAGUUAACACAAUAAGUAAUCCACCUGGGGAGUACGACCGCAAGGUUGAAACUCAAAGGAAUUGACGGGGGCCCGCACAAGCAGUGGAGUAUGUGGAUUAAUUCGAUGCAACGCGAAGAACCUUACCAGGUCUUGACAUCCCGCUAACGAAGUAGAGAUACAUUAGGUGCCCUUCGGGGAAAGCGGAGACAGGUGGUGCAUGGUUGUCGUCAGCUCGUGUCGUGAGAUGUUGGGUUAAGUCCCGCAACGAGCGCAACCCUUACUGUUAGUUGCUACGCAAGAGCACUCUAGCAGGACCGCCGUUGACAAAACGGAGGAAGGUGGGGAUGAUGUCAAAUCAUCAUGCCCCUUAUGACCUGGGCCUCACACGUACUACAAUGGCCAUCAACAGAGGGAAGCAAAGCCGCGAGGCAGAGCAAAACCCUAAAAAUGGUCUCAGUUCGGAUCGUAGGCUGAAACCCGCCUGCGUGAAGUUGGAAUAGGUAGUAAUCGCGGAUCAGCAUGCCGCGGUGAA